This is a long non-coding RNA of Lynx canadensis (Canada lynx), 169 nucleotides long. RefSeq lists it as uncharacterized. The record is from RefSeq and is a predicted model, not a curated record. The transcript has 3 exons. NCBI's taxonomy places the organism in Eukaryota, Metazoa, Chordata, Mammalia, Carnivora, Felidae.
AAACAUCACUAACUAGAACAAGGUGGUUUUUUAUUGUGGUCACAUGCACGCAAUAUAAAAUUUACCACUUUAACCAAUUUUCAGUGUGCAGUUCUGUGGCACUAAGUAGAUUCACACUGCUGUGCAACCAUCACCACAACCCAUCUCCAGAAUUCUCUUCAUCUUUUCA